UGCGUUUUUUGCCCAGGCGGAGCUCGACCGCCGUUUGAAGAACUGAAACGAUUCGUGGACCUGCACCGUGACACCUACGGGGUCGAGUCCAUCUGCAAGGUGCUGCAGAUGGCCCCA
This is a regulatory RNA element of Limnohabitans sp. 103DPR2, 117 nucleotides long. It matches the Rfam family "ALIL pseudoknot". Lineage: Bacteria; Pseudomonadati; Pseudomonadota; Betaproteobacteria; Burkholderiales; Comamonadaceae. The record is from Rfam.